Molecule: long non-coding RNA, 1554 nt
Organism: Oncorhynchus tshawytscha (Chinook salmon)
Lineage: Eukaryota; Metazoa; Chordata; Actinopteri; Salmoniformes; Salmonidae
Source: Ensembl
GUAUGGCAGAAUGCCAUGAGCUCAGUCAGGCGUGCGCGAGAGUUAGCUGCCUUCCUUUUCCUUUCUAAAGACAAAGGAAAUCUCCGGUGAAACAUUAUUGAAGAUUUAUGUUAAAAACAUCCUAAAGAUUGAUUCUAUACAUCGUUUGACAUGUUUCUACGAACAUAAAUGAUGGACUUUAUCGAACAAAACAAACAUUUAUUGUGGAACUGGGAUUCCUGGGAGUACAUUCUGAUGAAAAUCAUCAAAGUCAGCUAUGUCUAAUAUCGUCAUGGAGACUCUCCUGUCCUGGGACCUGGUGUCUAUGGUCAUCAUGUUGUUCCUUGUCUCUACAGAGUCAGCAGGUGACUCAACAAAAUAUCAGAAAAAUAAAUCAGCUUCUUUGGGAGAAAUUGUUACUUUGGUUUGCAAUAACUCAGAGACGGAUGCAUCAUACAUCUGGAAGAAGGACACAGUUCUUAUUUUCUCUCAUAGUGACACACUGAAUAAAUCUGAAAGAAAAUUCACCUCUGACAGGAUGAGUGUUGAUCCACCUACAAAGCUGACUAUCUUUAAUGUAGAGUUAAAUGACACCGGGAGCUACAGCUGUCAAAUAACAGAUGUUCAAAGUGGUGUACGGACAAUGGAGUGGAAUUUGACCAUCACUAAUAACCUCACAGAUCAUGCUGAACAUAACCUACGGAGGUUAUUGCUCUUCACAAUUCCAUCUGCUAUUGGAGGAGUGGUUCUCUGCAUUAACAUCUGUUGUAUGGUCUGGCUAUGUAGGAAACGAAAACAGGAACAGACAAGUCAUUGUGAUAAGCGCAAAGAGGAGAGCAAUGCCCAGUCUGAUGGCCACAUUGCCAGAAGAGAACAACACCAGUGGAGUCAGUACUUCGAAAGACUCAACUCAGUCUAUGGACUGUAGUAAUCACACAACAGUUACUUAACAGGCCAAAAAAGAGUCAAGUAUCAUAGACGGGUUAGCUGACAAGGUCACGACAACAAAGCGCAUGCUUCAAUGAGGAAGAAGUCCAUGUGUAGUUGUGGUUCUGGAUGACCAGAUAACUAGCAACAUUGACAAGAAGCUGCUAUGUGGGAAUCUUAGGUGGUUCGUUUCAGCUUGUUGUGUCUAGUUAGUGAUACUGUGAUGGAACAUUUUCUGUUUGUGUUUUUCUAAUAACCAAUUUCUGUGCUCAUGCAAGUGACUGAUUGAACAUGCAGAGGAGGAAUCCUCACUAUCAGUAUGCAAUUUGGCAGUACACCCAGAACCGUGUUUUGAGAACUAAAGGGAUAUCUUAGUUUCAAGGUCUCAGCUUGGAGAGAGGAAGCCUCUUAAGGUAUUGGUCAGUCACAUGCAUGAACCAAACGUUAAUGAUGAAUUAAUUAUGAAUAAUAAAUAAGCUAAAUCAUGCAAAUAUAACUUGUCUGUGUGAGCAGUAUAUAAGAGAACUAACGGGACUAGUCCAGUGAAGCUCACUUCAGACCGACACUUUAUGCAUCUAAGUUUGACUGGGACGUCUUCAGCGUGCUGUAAAUAAACAAUGCUUCAUUUAAGAUUGACUUCAAGUGUCC